GAUGAACGCUAGCGGCAGGCUUAACACAUGCAAGUCGAGGGGCAGCAUGAGACGGAGAUUCGUCGAAGUCUUGAUGGCGACCGGCGCAAGGGUGCGUAACGCGUGAGCAACUUGCCCGUUUCUGGGGCAUAACCGGUGGAAACGCCGACUAAUUCCCCAUAGUAUUGAUUACAGGCAUCUGUUGUCAAUUAAAGAAUUUCGGAAACGGAUAGGCUCGCGUGACAUUAGCUAGAUGGCGGGGUAACGGCCCACCAUGGCGACGAUGUCUAGGGGUUCUGAGAGGAAGGUCCCCCACACUGGAACUGAGACACGGUCCAG
This 318-nucleotide ribosomal RNA is filed under the name uncultured bacterium. RNAcentral's name for it is "bacterial SSU rRNA". It matches the Rfam family "Bacterial small subunit ribosomal RNA", at positions 28 to 334 of the family's 1533-position model. The record is from RNAcentral.